AGUCUGAUACCGUGCCGUUAGUUAACAUUGAAAAAUUUCUUUGAAUUUUUAAAGCAUUUUAGAACGCUUAUUUCUUCAUUUUAAGCUUCUCAGAACACUUUAUUUCGCAUAGGCAUACAUAGUAAACUUUAGGGUCACGCUGUGUACCCCCUAAAUGAC
This is a non-coding RNA of Parasteatoda tepidariorum (common house spider), 159 nucleotides long. Lineage: Eukaryota; Metazoa; Arthropoda; Arachnida; Araneae; Theridiidae. The record is from RefSeq and is a predicted model, not a curated record.